This 659-nucleotide ribosomal RNA is filed under the name Acinetobacter baumannii. RNAcentral's name for it is "bacterial SSU rRNA". It matches the Rfam family "Bacterial small subunit ribosomal RNA", at positions 1 to 652 of the family's 1533-position model. Lineage: Bacteria; Pseudomonadati; Pseudomonadota; Gammaproteobacteria; Moraxellales; Moraxellaceae. The record is from RNAcentral.
UUUAACUGAAGAGUUUGAUCAUGGCUCAGAUUGAACGCUGGCGGCAGGCUUAACACAUGCAAGUCGAGCGGGGGAAGGUAGCUUGCUACUGGACCUAGCGGCGGACGGGUGAGUAAUGCUUAGGAAUCUGCCUAUUAGUGGGGGACAACAUCUCGAAAGGGAUGCUAAUACCGCAUACGUCCUACGGGAGAAAGCAGGGGAUCUUCGGACCUUGCGCUAAUAGAUGAGCCUAAGUCGGAUUAGCUAGUUGGUGGGGUAAAGGCCUACCAAGGCGACGAUCUGUAGCGGGUCUGAGAGGAUGAUCCGCCACACUGGGACUGAGACACGGCCCAGACUCCUACGGGAGGCAGCAGUGGGGAAUAUUGGACAAUGGGGGGAACCCUGAUCCAGCCAUGCCGCGUGUGUGAAGAAGGCCUUAUGGUUGUAAAGCACUUUAAGCGAGGAGGAGGCUACUUUAGUUAAUACCUAGAGAUAGUGGACGUUACUCGCAGAAUAAGCACCGGCUAACUCUGUGCCAGCAGCCGCGGUAAUACAGAGGGUGCGAGCGUUAAUCGGAUUUACUGGGCGUAAAGCGUGCGUAGGCGGCUUAUUAAGUCGGAUGUGAAAUCCCCGAGCUUAACUUGGGAAUUGCAUUCGAUACUGGUGAGCUAGAGUAUGGG